GACGAACGCUGGCGGCGUGCUUAACACAUGCAAGUCGAACGGAAAGGCCCUGCUUUUGUGGGGUGCUCGAGUGGCGAACGGGUGAGUAACACGUGAGUAACCUGCCCUUGACUUUGGGAUAACUUCAGGAAACUGGGGCUAAUACCGGAUAGGAGCUCCUGCUGCAUGGUGGGGGUUGGAAAGUUUCGGCGGUUGGGGAUGGACUCGAGGCUUAUCAGCUUGUUGGUGGGGUAGUGGCUUACCAAGGCUUUGACGGGUAGCCGGCCUGGGAGGGUGGCCGGCGACAUUGGGCCUGAGAUACGGCCCAGACUGCUACGGGAGGCAGCGGUGGGGAAUAUUGCACAAUGGGCGGAAGCCUGAUGCAGCAACGCCGCGUGCGGGAUGACGGCCUUCGGGUUGUAAACCGCUUUCGCCUGUGACGAAGCGUGAGUGACGGUAAUGGGUAAAGAAGCACCGGCUAACUACGUG
This 468-nucleotide ribosomal RNA is filed under the name uncultured bacterium. RNAcentral describes it as "partial 16S ribosomal RNA". It matches the Rfam family "Bacterial small subunit ribosomal RNA", at positions 28 to 507 of the family's 1533-position model. The record is from RNAcentral.